AGUGAACGCUGGCGGUAGGCCUAACACAUGCAAGUCGAACGGCAGCACAGUAAGAGCUUGCUCUUACGGGUGGCGAGUGGCGGACGGGUGAGGAAUACAUCGGAAUCUACUUUUUCGUGGGGGAUAACGUAGGGAAACUUACGCUAAUACCGCAUCCGACCUACGGGUGAAAGCAUGGGAUCUUCGGACCUUGCGCGAUUGAAUGAGCCGAUGUCGGAUUAGCUAGUUGGCGGGGUAAAGGCCCACCAAGGCGACGAUCCGUAGCUGGUCUGAGUGGAUGAUCAGCCACACUGGAACUGAGACACGGUCCAGACUCCUACGGGAGGCAGCAGUGGGGAAUAUUGGACAAUGGGCGCAAGCCUGAUCCAGCCAUACCGCGUGGGUGAAGAAGGCGUUCGGGUUGUAAAGCCCUUUUGUUGGGAAAGAAAAGCAGCAGGUUAAUACCCCGCUGUUCUGACGGUACCCAAAGAAUAAGCACCGGCUAACUUCGUG
Molecule: ribosomal RNA, 492 nt
Filed under: uncultured bacterium
Lineage: Bacteria
Description: partial 16S ribosomal RNA
Rfam family: Bacterial small subunit ribosomal RNA
Source: RNAcentral